This is a long non-coding RNA of Macadamia integrifolia, 520 nucleotides long. RefSeq lists it as uncharacterized. NCBI's taxonomy places the organism in Eukaryota, Viridiplantae, Streptophyta, Magnoliopsida, Proteales, Proteaceae. The transcript has 2 exons. The record is from RefSeq and is a predicted model, not a curated record.
UGUUUCUUACUUACAACAAAGUUGCUGUCAGAUCUGCAAUACAGUAAAGAAUGUUGGGUUUUGCAUAUUAUGAAUGGACCAUGGAUUGAGGAGCCUGCCAAAGUGGCACGACAGCGAAUGUUGGAGAACAGCUAGCUAUUUGAAUUGCAAGAGCGGUUUAAUUCUGAAGGGCUCAAGUUGAGGAUUGCAGUUCUACAGUAGUCCAAAUGAUGUGGUCUUCUCUAGACAACAGAAGUUGAAGCUCAUGUUAAUAUGAUGCCCAACCAUGGGCAGCUUCAUGCUUCAUCAUUAAUCUAAGGUGUUGAUAUUAGAUCUUGAAACAAAUAGAACAAUGAUGGGAAACUGGACAGACUUCAUUUGUGCCUUGAUUGGUAAUAUUAGGUUUAGAAACUAUUAGUAUGACCAGUUUUUAGUACCAAGCACAUUGGUUUUAUGCUUUUGACUAUGUAUUUUCUGAGUAAUUUGCCUACCGUGGAAACAGUCCAAUGUCUAGUUUAUUAAUCGUUGAAUUUGCUUCUAA